UACGUAGGGUGCAAGCGUUGUCCGGAAUUAUUGGGCGUAAAGAGCUCGUAGGCGGCUCGUCACGUCGGCUGUGAAAACCCGGGGCUCAACCCCGGGCCUGCAGUCGAUACGGGCGAGCUAGAGUUCGGCAGGGGAGACUGGAAUUCCUGGUGUAGCGGUGAAAUGCGCAGAUAUCAGGAGGAACACCGGUGGCGAAGGCGGGUCUCUGGGCCGAUACUGACGCUGAGGAGCGAAAGCCAGGGAGCAAACGGG
This 252-nucleotide ribosomal RNA is filed under the name uncultured bacterium. RNAcentral's name for it is "partial 16S ribosomal RNA". It matches the Rfam family "Bacterial small subunit ribosomal RNA", at positions 524 to 776 of the family's 1533-position model. The record is from RNAcentral.